This is a long non-coding RNA of Phyllopteryx taeniolatus (common seadragon), 10790 nucleotides long. RefSeq lists it as uncharacterized. NCBI's taxonomy places the organism in Eukaryota, Metazoa, Chordata, Actinopteri, Syngnathiformes, Syngnathidae. The record is from RefSeq and is a predicted model, not a curated record. The transcript is spliced from 2 exons.
CCUUACACACAUGCGCGCAUCGCUCGCGUUUGUGCAUGUGUCUGUGUGAGGACGAGUUGCAAGCCGAUCAUUUUGAACACGUCCAUCUAGCAGAGCGCCAUGCUUGCUUCUGAGGUCUACGUGACAGCAGCAAAUUAGUGUGGAGAUGCCCCUCACCUGUGUCUGCUUUUGUGGCCUAAACAGCUUCUGCAACAGACAGAAGGUCAAGAAAAAGCAACAGUUAAAGGAAGAUCAAAGUGAGAAGGUAGCACAAUGGAAGGAUCAGGAGACAUACGUGUGACACGAAUUACUAACCUUGCCAGACUGCGAUAUAAUGGCUGUAUAUAUUUUAACGGGAAACAGUCUUUUUAGAAUGUAAAUGUUUUUAUAGACCAUGGUUUGCUUUCUCACUUAUUCCAAACUGAAAUGGUGACGAGGUGCCAACUUUAAUACUUGCUUCCUAUACUGCCUGAACCAGCAACUCCAAAGGUAUUGUGAGCCCCAUUGCUCAAUAUGCUACGAGUUUUAAAAUGAACACCCCAUUAUCCUUUCUUGUUUUUUAAUUAUUCUUAUUUUGUAUUUUGUGAGGGGAAAGAAAAAAUGCUUUUCCCAUUUGGGACCAUUCCUUUCUUGUAUUUCCCAGUGCACUUUAUGGUGACGUGAAGUCAGUUGGCUCCAGAAAUCCAUUAUUUCAUUAUGUCACACCUCUCAGUGAUGCCCCAUUGAUCUUUUCUUGUCCUUAAUCACCAUUCCACACUGAAUUGGAACCAAAGCCAAACAGAACACAGCACUUAUGCAUCUACCCGUUGAUGUCCCUUCAACUUAGUGAAAAUUCCAACUUAGUGAGAAACUCGACAGCCAUUUCCAAAGUCACCCGUGGUGCGCUAGAGCCCAUCUUGCUUUUCACACUGAGCUGGGCACGAUCGAAAGUUGAGCAGCUGUCCAAUCAGCAGCGUCACUCAAGUGUAAAGAUAGGAGUCAGGGGUCAGAAUGAGGAACAGGGUUUGUGAGAAUUCCCUCCACAGACAUCAGAGCAUCCUGCCCUCAUUAAUAGACAGACAAGUAAUUACAAACACACAAAAAAACACUGCAGACCCUUGAUUAAUGCCCUCCAGUGGGAGUGUCUGCCCAUAAAUGCCACCACAGUGCAUAUUUAGCUAUCACCUGUUUGAAUGUGUGUUUAGAGUGUUUAUGUGUGCAUCUUGGCUGUAACAAUAGACUUUCAGGCCUGAAAUAAGUGGAUAAGAUAUCCAUUCAGGCAAUGUAGCGCUGCCUUUUCAAAAUUCACAUUAAGAUCCAAAGACAAAAUGCACAGACAUGCACACACACACACACACACAUUCCUAGGUCUCAUUAGUGUUUGUGAUUAUGCAUCACACGUCCAGUCAGGCAGUGGAGAUGUAAUUAACCUUUUCCAGCAGGAAACAGAUGCCUGGAUGUCACACACACACGCCCGCUGUCAGGGAAACAAAGCCAACGUCACGGUGUCACGGAAACAAAGUCCUAAAAAGCGAUGCCUGGCACUUCGUGAUAAUCCCCUUUUGCAUAUUACAUUUUGGGUUUAGAGAACAGAUCAGUGCUGCCAUCUCCUCCCAGCAUUUACCCUUUCUGGCUAUCUUUAAGACUACUAAAAUAUACACAGCAAAAACUCAAAUCUUAGUGCAUUUACAGUAUCUUAUUUUGAGUGAAAACACUUGUUUUUCUACAUUUUCAGCAAGACAAAAACACUUUUAAGAUGCAACUUAUUUUAAGAAUCAUCCAUCCAUCUAUUUCCGUUUAUCAAAGGUCAGGUCGCAGGGGCAAGCAGCUUUAGCAGGGAAGUCCAGACUUUCCUCGCCUCAGCCACUUCAAAUUAGCCAUUGAAACUAGUAUGACUUGACUUGAUAAGAUUCUUCAAAUAAGCGCUUGUAACUUAAAACAAAAUUUCCGAAGAGUCUUAAAAUAAGUACAGUAAGAUGUUUUCACUAUAAAUAAGAUAAAUGCACUCCUUAAGAUUUGCAUUUUUGCAGCGUGGACAGCCGUUAUGGUGCUAAUGUAUGAUUCUGCAUGACUGUGAAUAUUCUCAUUCAAGCAGGUUAUUUCAUUUUCAGGGCAUUGAACCGAUCGCAAUUGGACUGUUCUGGUUGUCUCGGGAGACCUUUCGCGUCUCAUGUUGUGUUAUGCGGCACGGUGGCGGACUGGUUAGAGGGUCUACCUCACAGUUCUGAGGAGCUGGGUUCAAUCCCCGGUCCCGCCUCUGUGGAGUCUGCAUGUUCUCCCCGUGCCUGCGUGGGUUUUCUCCGGGCACUCCGGUUUCCUCCCACAUCCCAAAAACAUGCAUGGUAGGUUAAUUGAUAACUCUAAAUUGCCCGUAGGUGUGAAUGUGAGUGUGAAUGGUUGUUUGUUUGUAUGUGCCCUGCAAUUGGCUGGCAACCAGUUCAGGGUGUACACCGCCUCCUGCCCAAUGAUAGCUGGGAUAGGCUCCAGCACGCCCGCGAACCUAGUGAGGAGAAGCGGCUCAGAAAAUGGAUGGAUGGAUGUUGUGUUAUAACAGUGUUUCUCAACUGGUGGGUUGGGACCCAAAAGUGGGUCGCUGACCCAUAAUGGGUGAGUAGCAGACAGGUAGUAAAAAAAUGACGUGGGGUCCUCAACGGUACCGACGUAUGUUUCAAGGUUACGAAUACCAGUCAAUUAACUCAUUUCUGCAGUGCCGUAAAAAUAUAUGGUCACAUGGCACAAGACAGGAGCCUCAAGUACUUGCUGUUCUUCAUUGGAUUCUUUUAUAUUUAUCAAGUGUUUUUCAAAUAAAUAGCUAAUAUAACCAUGACUUUACUACUGUGUCCGUGUAGAUUAGUUAUUGAUGACACCACACGGUCGAUUUAAAUACAUAUUCUGUACGUACGCAAAAAAACGAGGACACCCUGUCCAGUGAAAUAUUCAAGUGUAGCCCAAGUCGGACUUGAAUUUUAUUUGGAAAAUAACUAUUUUGACAGUUAUCUGUGAGAAAAGGUAUUAGUUUGGGUAAGGGACAUUCCCAAAAAGAAGAGAUCAGUGCCAAAGUCAGUGAAAAUUUGUGGCUGUAUUUUGUGCUGAGUUAAUUUUACGGUAAUCAUUUUUGCACAAGUUGUUAUGCUCAUCCUCUUUUCUUAAUAAGGUGCUCUGAAAGGUACUUUGAACAUGUAACGUGUUGUUAUGUUGACAAAAUAUGAUAUGUGUUUUCAACGGCUGUUUAGAUCAUGGUCUUUAUUUUUCUUCAGUUCUGUAGAAGUGCGUCGCGACUUGAUGACAAUGGGAAAUGCGGCUCGCAACACUUGAGAACCACUGUCUUAAGGCUUCUUUAUACUCGUGCGGGCGGCGACCGUGCUGACGCAACUGCGGCUAUCCUGCACGCAGUUUGCCUUUAUACUCGACCGCAACCCACACACGCUGUUUUGAAAAUGUACUGCAGUUCUCCUCCAAGUCGGGGGUUAUCGCUAGAGCUGGUAUUGACUAGGACACCACAGGGUGGAGUUUCCUCUGCAUUUUAUAGCCAAUUCCGGUAGCCGUUUUUACUUUCCGGAACAAGGAACAAAGCAACAAUAAUGGUGACCCUGGAACAGUGCCUGCUAGAGCAAAUUGGCCUAGAUGACCACAUGAUGCAUUUAAUUAUAUUGCAGAAUCGAUCAAGAAGGCGGUGGCGUAGGUGGUACUGUAUGUACGGCUGAGUAGCUGAUUACGUCAUCUCAGCAUGUGACUAAAACAGACCAAUGACAAGAGAUGAUCUCCGCCACAUUCUGCGCGCGGCGACUAUUUGUGCCGUGUGCACGUCAAGUGUCGCAUAGGGGCCGUGCGGCCCAUUGCGUCUCUCAUGUGAUGCAAUGCGAGCGCAGGAGCAUAAAGAGACCUUUAGCCUGCGCGGAUGAGAUGUGAAACAUCUACUAAGACAACCAGAACAGUCCAGUUGUGAUCGAUUCAAAGCCUUGAGAAGGUUUCUGCAUAAAUUUGCAGAUUGUCUGUUUACUAAUACUCUCACUACAAGCCUUGAAAUUCAAGAAAGUUGUAGCCAUUUCACAGUGUCGAACACUUAUUAUGAUUCACAAAGUUCCAACGCUGCUCUAAUGAGAGAGCGGGUGAGGGUAUUGGAUGGAAAAACGAUAGGAGAGGAAAACAGAAAAGAUGAGAGGGAGGAAUAAAUACGGAAGAGGGGGUCAAACUCUAGGCGGAGCAGUCAUGCUAAUUGGCUACAGUUGAUAACUUUCUAAGGCGGGGGUUUGUGUGUGGUGGGGGUGAUAAUAGGGUUAGGAGUGGGAUGGCAAUGGAAAGAACAGCCUGAUCUGUCAGCAUUACAUUCGUUUAAUGCUCUCUCCAUUUCACCUCAUUAAUGAGAGAAAUGUUCGCUUCAGUAAUGGUGAAUGACUUAAAAUUGGUAACGAUGCACUGCUCACACACACACACACACGUGCGGGCACGGCAUGGGGUAUAUUUUCUCCUACACUUUUAUGGAUCAGAGCAAUGCUCAGGGAUUAUAAUUCAAGGACAAAAAAAGAUAAAAAUAGAAGGGUGGUGUACGACUUCUGCAAUGGUGGGAUGGAAGGAGGGAUGGUUGGAGGAGGUGUGUAUGUGUGGGAGGAAGGUUACAGUGAAAAUGAGUCCUGUCGCUUUAGAUUUGGGUCAAGAAAGGGGGGAGAAGAAGGAAGAGGCAAAUAUUACAGACGGUGGGGAGAUUCAUCACUUGCGUCACCCUGCGUCUCUCCCUCCUCUCCUUUGAAACUUCAUCACUUUCUUUUCUUUUUCACACACACACACGCAACAUGCACACGCACACACCUACCACAGGAAGACGAUGAGGUAUUAGUGUGGGGGGGGGGGGGGGGAGGCUACAACAGAAAAGGAGCAGCAGCAGGGGGGAAAAAACGUCCAUGAGAGAAUUUUUAAUGGGAGAGAGACCAAACCUCAGCUAAGUUACAUCUUAUUGUAAUAUUUAUAUAUGCAAUUUCAUCCCUGGAUUGUUGCUGCAUGUGUGAAUUUAUAAGUGCUAAUUUCAGUUCGACUGGAGCUCUAAUGAUAGCGCAUGUGUUUAACUUUAAAAUACUGUGUGCGAUAAUUUGGGGCUAUGAAAAUGUUAGCGCUUUUCGUCAGGGAGAGGAAUCUUGAAGCCAUGGUUAUUAAUGCUGCAUGAUACAGCUCAGCCUUCCUUCCUGAGUGCCCUCAUGCGCAUCAGCCUGUGAUUGCUACACCGCACUAAUUCAUAUCGGUCCUGUUUUUCUAAUGAAGAUGAUGGUCUCACUCAGGCCAAUUAAUAGGACUUAGAAGCAGAGCACUGACAGACUGGUGAUAGAGUCAUAAGGGAAGAGCCAACACUGCACUUGGUUUUUCCACCAGUCCCCAAGCAGCAGCAGGGAAGAAAGCAAGAGGGCAGAUUAAAAGGAACUGAAGAAUAGAGGAACUAUAUUUAAUAGGCAAUGUGGAUGGUUUUGCCCAGGACAUCUGUCAGGGCAAAAAGAUUUCACGAGAAUUUAUGUUUUAAGUAAUCAUGCCUCAAAUUAAGCUUUGCAUUUGUACUGCACUAUAUUUAAAAUAUGCAUUGUGUUCCAACAAAAUGCCCAGCCCCAGUUAUUAUCCUACAAACAGUACUUAACUUUGCUAUGUAUUUUUAAUGACCCUAUACUGUACUCUAUUUGCGCACCUCCACCGCACGCAGUCAAUAAUGGCGGCCUGUGCGACACCCGACACAAGUAUUACCGUAGACAACAUUUACAGUACAUAUUCAUAGACCCCACAUUGAGUACUGAAUCUUCCGUUGACAUCGCAGCCGUAUGGCUGUGGCAAAGUAAAGUGAUCUGUGAAGAUGCCUUGUUCAUUUCUUGGUUUGAGAUGCAUCAACAGUUUUACUUUCAAAGCCACAACUCAUGAGAACCAUAACUUUUUAUUGUAUUUGGCCAUUCUAACACCAUUUUACAUGUAUAAUUUGCGGAUUUUGUGGCAAAUACGAAUGCCACGUCCAAUAUGGCAAAAUGUGCUGACAUAUCGGACGGAAAGGGCCACCCUGUUCAAGGCAGUGUCUAUGUAUAUAUUUGCAUUUUACAGCUGUAAUGUGCACACACAGACAAUGCGCUAAGGUUCACGUUUAAGUGCAAGUAAUAAAAUGAUGAUGCAUACAGGAGCUAACUGUGUUUUUGGAUUUCUGCAGGUAGAUAAUUUUAGUUCUGGUUUUUAUUUCAUAAAUGAGAGGAGGGGUCAUUUAAACAUUUAGUAGCUUCAACCCAGUGUCUUUUCCCCCCGGACUUGCAAGUAUUUUUGUUGCACACAGAAAUGUAAAAAAAAAAUUAUGCGCACCUUGCAUAAUGUUAAGUAAGGCCUGUUGCAGAUUAGGUUGGCCAUAAAUCAAACAAAAUUACACCAUUGUUUGUUAAUAUUUUUGUUUUCGUGCUGUAUAACACAAUAAUAGUUUUUCUUAACACAAAAAUAGCUACUAUGAUGAAAAAAAAAUGCAAACAAAUGUUUAUUUGUAGAGAUACGAGCCAGUGGGGGGUGGGGGGUGUCCACGGCCCCCUAUGGCCCACCCAUAGUCACAAUAUAAAACAUACUUUUGUUAACAAUUCCACCUUGGCAGAGGUCCAUGCUCGGCUGAAAGUGUGUUUGCUAAAACAUACUACAUUACAAUUAGCUGGUUGUCCUCUGAUUUGCCUUAUGAAAUAAUGGAAAAGUCUGUUUAAAUAGUUUGUUCACGGAUCAAACUAUUACAGUAGCAUUUUAACACAAAUUGGCUGUCAUAUUAGGGUAGGAUUUAAAUGGUAUUGUAAACACAAAAUAGACAAUAAAUACUUAAUCGUCAAAGACAAUAUGUGUCACAGAUGUGAAUGCUUUGAAUGUAAUGUCCAUUCACACAACAUCCAGGAUAUUUUUACUUACUGUUCUUGCAUUUUUUUCUAUUUUCUCAUCUUUUCCCUGACAAUAUUGUUUUAAAUUUCACAUUUUACCAUGUCAAUAUUUGACAUUAGAUGUUCUAUGGUAAUACAAAAGAACACUAUUUUGUAUAUACAACCCCAAUUCCAAUGAAGUUGGGACAUUGUGUUAAACAUAAAUAAAAACAGAAUACAAUGAUUUGCAAAUCAUGUUCAACCUAUAUUUAAUUGAAUACACUACAAAGACAAGAUAUUUAAUGUUCAAACUGAUAAACAUUAUUGUUUUUAGCAAAUAAUCAUUAAUUAAUAGAAUUUUAUGGCUGUCAUAAAAUCAUUGUAUUCUGUUUUUCUGUUCUGUGAACGACUGGUUAGAGCGUCUGCCUCACAGUUCUGAAGACCGGGGUUCAAUCCCAGCCCCGCCUGUAUGGAGUUUGCUUGUUCUCCCCGUGCCUGCGUGGGUUUUCUCCGGGCACUCCGGUUUCCUCCCACAUCCCAAAAACAUGCGUGGUAGGUUAAUUGACAACUCUAAAUUGCCCUUAGGUGAGAAUGCGACUGCGAAUGGUUGUUUGUUUGUAUGUGCCCUGCGAUUGGCAGGCAACCAGUUCAGGGUGUACCCCGCCUCCUGCCCGAUGAUAGCUGGGAUGGGCUCCAGUACGCCCGCGACCCGAGUGAGGAGAAGCGGCUAAAAAAAUGGAUGGAUGGAUGGACAAUGUCCCAACUUCAUUGGAAUUUGGGUUGUAAUAUGUAUGUGAAUAGAGUGCCUUGAUUUUUGUACACAAUCCUCCUAACAUUUCAUAAUAACAGGCUUGUAAUGGUCAAGCUAAAUCAAUCUUUAACAUAGAGCUUGUGUCAAACUGGUGGCCCGGGGGCCAGAUAUGGCCCGCCACAUCAUUUUAUGUGGCCCACGAAAGCAAAUCGUGUGUCGACUUCAUCUUUCUUGUGAAAAUGCCAAAAUUGCAAAUUGUCUUCACUUGUAUAACAUUGAGAUAUUCAAAGCAUUUUAUGUACCAAUCCCCAUUUUAAAAUAGAUUUAAUAAUAGUUGAACAAACAUUUUUAUUGGCUUCUGAUUUCUAAACUAUUUAUCCAUCAAUUUGUUGUAUACAGUGUAUGCAAUUAUAUGAGGCGAUAAUUUAUAUGGCUUCACAGUCGUAACGGCCCUCCGAGGGAAGCCAUCACUACAAUGUGGCCCGCGACAAAAAUGAGUUUGACAACCCUCACAUAGAGGAAGAGAAAGAUUAGUGGAGUAGUGAGGAGCGAUCUCAAUCCUAGUGGAGAAAGGCCUGUGUCCAUGUCAGCUUUAUUUGAUCUCCAAUUUGUGCCUGUGUGCAGACAUCAAACACCAGUACGCAAACACCACUAAUCGGACAGUGCUAACCAGCUUAAAGAGAGAUCAGAGAGCCAGCAACACACACAAGCACAUGCUGAUUGGUCACACCAGGCAUCCUAUGUCAAGGUCUGUCGAGUAGACCUUUAGCGGUGUGAUUUGGAAAAUAAAACUGCCACUGUUAAAUAAUGUCUCCCUUCUCGAGAUGAAAACAAGGUGGAGUACAGAUGAGAUACAAGUAUGCUGUGCCAACCUUGGGUGUGUUCCAGCCUCAUUACCAGCCCUCACUCUUUCCCAACUAAUUUUAUCGUGAUUCGUGUUUGCCUGCCAGCUUCCAAAUAGUCUUAGUGAUGGAAAAGCGAUCCUGACACUUUCAAGAGAUUGGAUGGAUGCUUGAGAGUCCUGAAAUUAAGAUGAGCUAUAAAGUGCUGUAAAAGUUGCACCUGGUAAUUUACCAUGGUGACUGUUCCGAAAGGCACGGAGACACAGCUGACAGUCAGGAUCUCAGAAAUUCUGGAGUGAAAUUUUGGAACCAGUGUUUCAUUUUCAGUAAAAUAUUGAAGUAACCACUAGCUGCUUUUCCAGAAAAACGUUGGACCAAAUUAUUUCGUAUACUAAUUUUAGUUGGAAUCUUUACUUUUGGAUGACUGAAGGUCAAACGAGAGGCACAAUGAGACAUUUUGAAUAGUAGCUUCGAUAACUAUUCAAUUCAACUUCUACAAGUGCUCACAAGCUGUCAGAUUUCUCAUGCAGUGAACAUUCUCAUUUUUAUCUGCAAUCUUUCAAGAGGAAAGAAAUGGUUUUCUGUUAAGCUGUACACAACUGGAGAGAAAGAAACUUUUGCAGUUGUCUAGGAGCUGUAAACAGAUCUGUUUCACGCAUGUAAUGUCAGCUCACCAUCAUCAAUAGGAGAUAAAACUAGAUAACCCCUUCACCUCCUUUGCAUUUCUCCCUCUGUCCUAUCCCAAUCCAGUGUAACCAAUCCGACCCCCCCCCCCACCCCACCGCCACACACACACAUACACAGACAUCCAGUGAAUGUGGUCGAUACCAGAGCAGGUAUUGAGCAGUGGCUGUGGUCUAAAUGAGACAUUGAUUUCUCAGGGGUUGUUAGCCCCCUGUAAACCAAAGUGUCUACUCAUUCCUUAAAGACCACUUCACCAAUCAUUCAUUGAUGUAGCACGUGCGCACAUGCUUUAAACACCAUUUGAUUUUGUUGUGCACAAAAACAAUACUCUGCAAUACAGGCUGAUAGUAGUCAUUAAGACAAGUUCAAUGGGGACACUAAUGAGCUGAUUGUCUGAGCACUUCAUUCUCUUCUAAAACAAGCAAGCAAAGCCAUCAUUUGAACACAAAAGUUGACCAAUACUUGAGUUAGUCCACAGAAACGUUAUUUCCCCAAAAAAAGAAAAUAGUGCCAACCAGUUGAAUAUUGUACUGCUUGGACAGUAGCUAUACAUUGAAAUGCAUUCACUCAGAGCAGGUUCUGAACAUGAACAGGACCUAAUAAUUUCUCUAAACAAACAAAUACACUCUUCAAUAGAUUCAAUGUAUGACUGAACCCCAAACAUUUCGAUGUUAUACCGAGAGCACAAACAUAUAUGUAUUACUCCUUUCAUUUUCUACUUCAUUUCCUAUUUAUUAAUAAACUGUGACUUUUGCGCUCAAUACAGGGGAAUGAGAUGCAUAGAAGAGGUGUUUGACACCAUGAAACAGUGAGAUACAUAAACAGGAGGUCAGAGAGUGUCACAGUGGGACAUAGGGUGGAAAGAAAUACAAAUACACAGCAUCGGAAGGGUUGACUGGCAUUGACAAGCUUUUACUUUGUUCAGGAAAUCCACCAAUCAGCUGACUGUCAUUGACAAGUUCUUGGUGUGUUAAAAAAAAUACACCAAUCAGUGUGUCAGAGUGUGAGUGUGUGAGUGUGAGGGGUGUGUUUAAAAUGCAAUGUAUGUCAAGAGUCAUAGGGAUUACCUUUUGCUGCAAAGCCUCACUAAAGAGACACUUGCCUUAAAGCAAGUAUGUGCUGUUGCCAGACCACACACACACACACACACACACUCACACUCACACAACACAUACAAUGCAUGCACACACACACGCACAAAAAGUGGAUUUUCAUCCAGCCAAGCAAAAACCGAUGCCCAUAUAGAGGCAGCUUCAGACAAAUCCAUUUGAGAUUUCAGAGAAUAACAAAAUAGGACCAAGUGCUUCUGCUGAAAUCUUUCUUUUGUUUCUUUGGAUUAUUUCACCUUGUUUUCCAUAACAAUAAAGUCUAGCCCCCCAACCACACUAACAUGUCACUAACAUAUUUUGUUGUUGUUGUCAAUUCUGUUUUGAUUGUCUAUGCUUGUGUGCAUCUUAAAAUGCAUCUAUGAAUAAAUAAUGUGCAUAACCACUGAUUGAGAAAGCCAUAUUGCCAGAAAGCCAUGAUGAAAUGAUAAUGUAAUAUCUGUCCCAGUUCUGAAUGAAAGCCUGCCAACUUCAUUCUUUCCUGUGAAAUGAUUCCUCAGUUAAAUGAAACCGCAAGCUCCGCUGCUGCACCUUCUAUUGCCUGAUAACAUUCCAUGUAUGUUUUCCACUGCUGUGCAUAUUUUAAUAAAACAUAAUGUCUCUUUCUAUG